AUUAACUCGGCACCGCGCUUCGGAGAGGUGCCAUUGACAACAUAGAUGUUAGUGGUAGUUUUAGUAUGUGAUAAAUAAAUUAAAUAAAAAUUAAGUUUUUUCAUUGCUAUGAAUGGACGGUGUUGAUUUCCUUUUGUUUGAAUGGUGUUUUUCUUGGUGAUUCGUUCAAUUCUUGAUGAUUGAUUUAUAUAUUUAUUAAAGGAAACUUAUUUUUAUGCAGAAUUGAAUUGCUGAUUUACAUGCACACAGCUUCUGUUGUUCAAUAAUGGCUGUUGAGACUUCUGAUAAACCAAACUUGCCUAAAAAUGUUGAUGUUGAUGACGAUGAUGAUGAUAUGCCGAUAACUUUUAAGAGAAACCCUAAGAAGAGUCCGUUGUAUUCUGAAGUAAAGAAAACAAGUUCUCAAAGUCAUGAGGGACAGUCAAAAAAACAGAUUACUGACGGGCCUUCUGAUAAACCAAACUUGCCCAAAAAUGUUGACGUUGAUGACGAUGAUGAUGAUAUGCCAGUAUCUUUUAAGAGAAACCCUAAGAAGAGUCCGUUGUAUUCUGAAGUAAAGAAAACAAGUUCUCAAAGUCAUGAGGGACAGUCAA
Molecule: long non-coding RNA, 593 nt
Filed under: Trifolium pratense (red clover)
Lineage: Eukaryota; Viridiplantae; Streptophyta; Magnoliopsida; Fabales; Fabaceae
Description: long non-coding RNA (TPRA_LNC009846)
Source: RNAcentral